GGCUUGGUUCAGUGGUAGAACGACGGUCUCCAAAACCGCAGAUGGGAGUUCGAUUCUCUCAGCC
This 64-nucleotide transfer RNA is filed under the name bovine gut metagenome. It matches the Rfam family "tRNA". Rfam says of the family: Transfer RNA (tRNA) molecules are approximately 80 nucleotides in length. Their secondary structure includes four short double-helical elements and three loops (D, anti-codon, and T loops). The record is from RNAcentral.